UGACCCGAGAGGGUCACCUAGCCAACUGACGUUGUUAGUGAAUAUGAUAUUCACGAUGUAACAGCCAAUAGAACCGUUUCUAUUGGCUAUUUUUUU
Molecule: non-coding RNA, 96 nt
Organism: Vibrio furnissii NCTC 11218
Lineage: Bacteria; Pseudomonadati; Pseudomonadota; Gammaproteobacteria; Vibrionales; Vibrionaceae
Source: Rfam